This 169-nucleotide small nuclear RNA is filed under the name Canis lupus familiaris (dog). RNAcentral's name for it is "U2 spliceosomal RNA (multiple genes)". It matches the Rfam family "U2 spliceosomal RNA". Rfam says of the family: U2 is a small nuclear RNA (snRNA) component of the spliceosome (involved in pre-mRNA splicing). Lineage: Eukaryota; Metazoa; Chordata; Mammalia; Carnivora; Canidae. RNAcentral also lists the same sequence under 1 other name. The record is from Rfam by way of RNAcentral.
AUCAUUUUUUAUCAAGUAUAUUUCCUGUUCUUAUCAGUUUAAUAUCUGAUAGGAGUCCUCUAUCAAAGUACAGUAUAUUAAAUGGAUUUCUGAGGGGCACUGGGUAGCUGUCGGUUGGGUGUCUGCCUUUGGCUCAGGUCAUGAUCCUGGGGUCCUGGGUCAAGCCUGG